UUCUUAGAAUCAUUAUAAUAAUAGUAACGUUCUACGAUAUUGAAAAGAUUCUUUAUUGAAGAAGAUACAGUGUACAGCUAGGAAAAUAGUGGCAAAUCGGACAAAAACCAAAGAUGAUCAUUUUUCUUAUACAUCCAAGUAGUAACAUCAACGUAAGGAGGUAAGGACAAAUGCGCCAACCAAGGAGACAAUUAUGCCAAAGAUCGUGGUGAUCUUCUCCGCAAUUUUAAAGUUUGCUGAAUUCAUAUCUGAUUCUGGUGAUGCAUCCCUUUCCUCGGUCUUUACUGUUUCCUCCUGCAAAGCUGGCAGUGAGAUUUAAAAAAAAAUAAAAGAAGCGAAUACUAAGUUUGAAAUGCUAUAUAAAUCAUUAAAUUGAAAAUUAAUUGGUUUAUUCGUAAUAUACAAUUCA
Molecule: unclassified non-coding RNA, 409 nt
Filed under: Bombus terrestris (buff-tailed bumblebee)
Lineage: Eukaryota; Metazoa; Arthropoda; Insecta; Hymenoptera; Apidae
Description: misc RNA ENSBTSG00005026935.1
Source: RNAcentral